GACGCGGGAUGCAAGCGUUAUCCGGUAUCACUGGGCCUAAAGCGUCUGUAGGCGGCGAUGCAAGUCACUGGUGAAAAACUCCGGCUCAACCGGAGGAAAGCCAGUGAAACUGCAUGGCUAGAGAGUGGGAGAGGUAGGAGGAAUUCCCUGAGUAGCGGUGAAAUGCGUAGAUACAGGGAAGAACACCGGAGGCGAAAGCGUUCUACUGGAACACAACUGACACUGAGAGACGAAAGCUAGGGGAGCAAAUGGG
Molecule: ribosomal RNA, 253 nt
Filed under: uncultured bacterium
Lineage: Bacteria
Description: partial 16S ribosomal RNA
Rfam family: Bacterial small subunit ribosomal RNA
Source: RNAcentral